ACGAAGGGGGCUGGCGUUGUUCGGAAUCACUGGGCGUAAAGCGCACGUAGGCGGAUGUGUCAGUCAGGGGUGAAAUCCCGGAGCUCAACUUCGGAACUGCCUCUGAUACGGCACGUCUUGAGUCCGGAAGAGGAGGGUGGAAUUCCUAGUGUAGAGGUGAAAUUCGUAGAUAUUAGGAAGAACACCGGUGGCGAAGGCGGCCCACUGGUCCGGUACUGACGCUGAGGUGCGAAAGCCAGGGGAGCAAACGGGA
RNAcentral lists this ribosomal RNA (253 nucleotides) under uncultured prokaryote. RNAcentral describes it as "partial 16S ribosomal RNA". It matches the Rfam family "Bacterial small subunit ribosomal RNA", at positions 525 to 777 of the family's 1533-position model. The record is from RNAcentral.